GUGACCUCAAAUCAGGUAGGACUACCCGCUGAACUUAAGCAUAUCAAUAAGCGGAGGAAAAGAAACUAACAAGGAUUCCCCUAGUAACUGCGAGUGAAGCGGGAAAAGCUCAAAUUUAAAAUCUGGCGGUCUUUUGGCUGUCCGAGUUGUAAUCUAGAGAAGUGUUAUCCGCGCUGGACCGUGUACAAGUCUCCUGGAAUGGAGCAUCAUAGAGGGUGAGAAUCCCGUCUUUGACAUGGACUGCCAGGGCUUUGUGAUGCGCUCUCAAAGAGUCGAGUUGUUUGGGAAUGCAGCUCAAAAUGGGUGGUAAAUUCCAUCUAAAGCUAAAUAUUGGCGAGAGACCGAUAGCGAACAAGUACCGUGAGGGAAAGAUGAAAAGAACUUUGGAAAGAGAGUUAAACAGUACGUGAAAUUGCUGAAAGGGAAC
This 427-nucleotide ribosomal RNA is filed under the name uncultured fungus. RNAcentral describes it as "eukaryotic LSU rRNA". It matches the Rfam family "Eukaryotic large subunit ribosomal RNA", at positions 1 to 419 of the family's 3401-position model. Lineage: Eukaryota; Fungi. The record is from RNAcentral.